Molecule: long non-coding RNA, 776 nt
Organism: Neolamprologus brichardi
Lineage: Eukaryota; Metazoa; Chordata; Actinopteri; Cichliformes; Cichlidae
Source: RefSeq, a predicted model, not a curated record
GUUGACAAGGUGACGAGCUCAACUGCCUUACACCGAGGUUAAUUAAUAAUAGGCUGAACGAGCGGCUUUUUCUUAUUUACAUUUUUAGUGUGGAUAUACGCUUCUAAAAUCCAGCAAUUCAUUUUGCCCUUUUUUGGGGGUCUUGAGUCUGAGGCAAAGGCCAUUUAUCUCUGUGUAAUUCACAUGAAUCCUACUGUUCUAUUGAUGCCAUAUUUGCGGGGGCUGGGCAAACAUUUCUUUUCAAAAUGGACUCCCCUCCCUUGUGGCUAUAAAAUAUGCCUAUUUCAGGAGACAGAAGGCAGGGUGAGGCCGAAAGGAUUUUACUCAAAAUUGUGGUCUGAUUAGAGCUGUCAGGAAAUGAAGUAGAGGGCGGUCAGACAGGAAGGUAAAAGGUCAAAGGGGGACAUAACAGCAGGUUUGUUAUCAGAAGUAUUGCUUAAUGUUUAAACAAAUCACACACAAACAGAAAAAAAGUUUGAUUCCUUCUUUUCUCUGCUGAUUUAUAUAAUUAAUGAUGUAUAAGCUAAAGGUGCAUUAACCUGUACCUCUCCUGUCUCAUUAGAAUGAAAAAUUAAAAAACAGGACAACACUGCUAACAACCACCAGGACAGGAGGCCCUAUGAUCACACCAAAGUGUAAAUAGCAGUAUGAGUAAAAUCCUGUCUGCCACACUCAGUGCUCUGUCACACCAUCCAUGAUCACUGUUACUGCCAUGGGGAGCAUGACCCAACAACCCAUGUUUAGGUGAGUAUUAGGAGUGCAGAAUGGAGUUUAAU